Molecule: ribosomal RNA, 366 nt
Filed under: Triticum aestivum (bread wheat)
Lineage: Eukaryota; Viridiplantae; Streptophyta; Magnoliopsida; Poales; Poaceae
Description: partial small subunit ribosomal RNA
Source: RNAcentral
AUGGGGACUUUUGGGUACAUGGUGCCGGAGUACACCAACACCGGGAAAAUAACCGACCGGUCCGACGUCUUCUCCUUCGGCCUUGUGCUUCUGGAGAUCAUCACCGGCAAGAGACCGGUCCUGGCCGACGAGCCCAACGGGGACGACGAGACUCUGGUCUCUUGGACUCGAAGGAGACCAUAUGCAAGGCACCUCCUCUUCGGUUGUGAGAGUGUCCAGGGGUCGUGGGUGCGGCUAAUGCCUAUGUCUGUGGCCGCACUUGACACUGCCCUCUCUUUAAGGGCACAUAUCAUUUUUUACAACUCUGCUAUCUUUUCCCAAGUCUUUAUUAUCUUGCCUAGCCUUGUACUGAUAUGUAUUAUUUGA